UUGGUUCUUCAAAGUAUGCCCAUGUGAAUUCUUAAUUAUUCUGUGCAUCAUAUUAUAAUCGGGAUGGUCCAACCGGUCAUGCCAAAUGAUAAAAUCAUUAGAAUCAGUAAACCUUUUGUUUACUACGACAUGUGAUUCAACCGUACUAAUAUUUGUAUGGUACAACCCAGAAGAAAGUGCAGGUAAUUUUUCAUGCAAAAGUUUCUUCUCCGCAUUUAUUGUAGUAAUAUAAAGGUAUUCAACCUUUCCUUCAUUCGUAGUCUCAACAUGAUAGCUAUUUUGGCGAAUAACCUUGAAACUUAACAAGUUUCUAUGAGACUUACUACAAUACAAUGCAUUAUCAAUUAUCAAUAAUGUUCCUCUAGGUAGUAAUAAGGUCGCUCUUCCAGAGCCCUCAAUCAAUUUUGUACUACCAGAUAUUGUAUUAACAUAUGCCUUUUGCAUUAUUAAAUGAGAGAAAUAUUUUUUUUCUCUUAGUAUCGUAUGAGUUGUGGCACUGUCCAGAAGACACAUAUCUCCAUUACUCAUCUUGGAUCCAACUGAAGACUAGGAAAUUUUAUUUAUCUUCAUAAAAAUAAAAAUACAUAAUAAGAAGUACGAAACUUAAAAAAAGAAAAUUUAAGUACAUGAACUUCAAGUAAGACAUUAAAAACACAUAAUAUUAUUCAUUUCCCAAUUCAAUUAUCAAUCUUCAAUCCAGUUUAAUUAUCAAUCUUCAGUUGCGAUCCCCGAAGAAGUCCUCAGCUUCUAGAUGAGUAAUAUCAUCGAGCACAUCAAAAGCGUCAUCUUUCAAUGCUAAAUUCGCCUCAACAUUCUCAUCAUAUUUUUUAGAAGACCCUGUCUGAGCAUCAUCUUUGAGAGUCAAAUGUGACUCUACUCGGGCAUUAGAAGAGGAGGCACCACAUUUAUUCCCUUUCCUUUUAAGGAAUUUUGAUACAGCCUGACAAAAUGCUCAGGUGCCCGACAUUCAUUUUUCCAGUGACCUUUAAGGCCACAACGAUGAUAGUGAUCGCCCUUGCCUUUUAAAGGAUUAUUUUGAGAACUCAUAUUGUUCUCCCUUUUGUUAUGAUUACCACCUCGACGAUUAUUAUAUCGUCUUUUGCCUUUGCCACGUCCACGCACAUAAUCAUGGCCCUGAUUAUUUUGUCUUAUUUCAGACUGGCCGUGUGCUUCUACCCCAUGGGCCUCCGGUAAUGGAGCACUUCCAGUGGGACGGGCUUCAUGAUUUUUCAUCAAAAGGUCAUUAUGCUGCUCAGCCACCAGAAGGCAUGAGAUUAAUUCAGAGUAUUUUUUAAAACCCUUUUCACGAUAUUGCUGCUGUAAUAUCAUAUUGGAGGCAUGAAAAGUAGUUAGUGUCUUUUCCAAUAUGUCCUCAUCUUUUAUAACUUCCCCACAUAAUUUUAAUUGGGAAGUGAUUCUAAAUACAAUAGAGUUAUACUCAAUUACGGUUUUAUAAUCUUGAAACCAUAAGUGCAUCCACUCAUAACGACCCCUUGGCAAUACAGUUGCCUUGAGGUGGUCAUACCUCCCUUUCAAACCUAUCCACAAUUCAAGUGGAUCUUUCACUGUUAAGUAUUCAACCUUCAGACUUUCAUCAUGAUGAUGACGAAGGAAAAUCAUAGCUUUCGCUUUAUCCUGACUUGAUGCCUUAUUUCCUUCGAUUAUACAAUCACCAAGACCCUUAGCGGUAAGGUGAAUUUCAGCAUCAAGUACCCAUGAUAAAUAGUUCUUUCCAGAAAUGUCAAGUCAAGCUUUGAUAAAUUCGACAUGAUGAAAACUAUCAUAAAAUAGUUGAGUUAAUAACAUGAUUUUGAUUUCUUUAUAAUGAAAGAUAAAUUAAUAUUUCAAAUGAUUAAGAAUUAGUAUAAAAUUUAUUAUAAGUUAAAGUAGAUAUUAACGCCAUUUUUUUUGGUGAGUUUCAAGUCAUAUUUAAUACAAUAAUAUUCUUCUUUAUGACACACCAAUAUACUUAUCAUAAUGUAUGAAAAUACUUACGAGUUAUUUUAACUAGCAUGCUAUCAUAUUACUUAGUAAUUAAUUUAGAGUUAUAAGUUAGUAGCAUAUAAAUAACAUAACAAUAUAAACUUGAAACGUAUUGAUUAUUAUGCCUAGUAAAGUAUCAUAAUAAUAGCUAAAUCAACUUAUAUAUGCAGCUAUUAAAUUAUCGAUCAAAGAUUUAUGCAAUUCCUAUUAGAGGUGUUAUAAACAUAUAAAUGUAUACCUGACUCUAAAAGAAAGUUGAUUAACUUUUAGAAUUUAAUUUCGAAUUAAGUAGAUCUCAGUUGGUUAGAGACUCGUGCUGAUAACGUGUUGUAAAACAAGAGGAAAAUGCAAGAAUACUUAAACAAGAAAGUAAGGCAAAGUGUGAUGGAAAGUAUAAAGUUGAGAGCCUUAUUUUAAUCUCUUCAAUUGUGUAUUUCUUAAGGGUGAAGAAGACCCUUUUAUAAGAGGUAAAAAUCAUUCGUUUACUACCUUAACCAAAAUACGUUAGUAAUCUUUAAUUCUUACAUUAAAUUAAUACAUGCAUUACGUUAGGUUGAUGAAAAGAAACAUCCAUAUUAAAUGGAUUUGUAACAAAAAGAUAGUUUUAAAAAAAAGGAUUUUGUCACAUCACGAGAGAUUAGUAGUCAAAUUUGUUUUUAUUUUAAACAAAUCAUCUUGAAAAAUUAAUUUCCACUUCUAUUUUUUGUUAAAACUUAUAUGUAACAACAGAAAAAUAGCAAAACAUAAUAACAAAAAAAAAUGAUCACAUCAUGAGAGAUUAGUAGUCAAAUUUCAAUAAAAAUCAAGAGAAAAAAAAAUUAAUUGCUUCUUUGAAUUUGGAUAAGUUAGCUCGGCAUACCGAAAUUAUUCCAUAUUUGUGAUAAUGACAAAAUAAAUGUACUUGAAUGAAAUAUUUAAGUUGAUCAAAAUAUCACGAUAAAAAAUAUAACGUUGAUUUUUAAAAUAUAUAUCCCUAUUUAGUAAUUAUUUUUCUCUCAUCAAAAACCCAAAAUACAGUUAUUUUUUUAAUCUUUCGUUUUAAUAUUAUAAAACUCUAUUAAAUAUAUUAUUAUUAUAUUUUCGAUCUCGAUGCCAAUAUCUAGUUGCCAGAGCCUAACAUGGAUAUUGAUCUAAGAACAGUUGCGUUGCAACUUGUGUUUCAUUGUCUUUUUGAUAAUGUUAUUUGAUUGCUACCAACAAGGGUUUGUGGUGGAGUGGUAAGUACUCCUUCAUCCUUAAUCAAGGGGUUUCGAGUUCGAAUUCCCUUGGGUACGGAGUCGCCUUUGUUAGGGAGCGUUUUACCUCCAAUGUGGGACUUUCCAGUGCGAAUUCGGAUAUAGUCGAGCUCCAACGUAUGUACCAGAUAUCGGAUGAGAAAUAAAAAAAAAAAAAUGUUAUUUGAUUGCUACUUUUCCUCUUAAAAAAAUAUAAAUAAAUAAAUCCAGACAGCAAGUCACUAGUCAUGGAUGAAAAUAACAAACAAACAAAAAUAUCAACUUAUUUAACACCAAUAAUGCUUAUCAAUUAGAUAUUAUAUAUUAUAUACUACUAUUAUAAGAUAUCAAGAAUAUUCAAAGAGGUUAUAAGAAAUAUAAUUAUAUUACAAGAACUAUAUAUAUAUACUAGUAUAGCUAAUUUACACGGCAUCGACGGUGAUUGGUUAACUUAUUCUCAAUAAAUUAUAUAGAACUAGAAGCUGACGUACCGAUUCAAUCAAAUUUAAUAAUUUUUAGAACAAAGUUUAUAUUUUUGUAAUAGUAAAUUUAUUAUAUAUAUAUAUAGAUCUAAAUUCAACUACUUAUAAUUUGAUCUUAUUAUUUAAAUUUUGAAAUUUAUAAAUUUCAAAUUCUAAACGGAUCCUUUCACCAUUAGUUUUUAUUAAUAUCUUUUGUGUCUUUCGAAAAAAAAGUCGUAUUAGAUUUAAAUUUUAAACGGAGGAAGAUAUCAAGCAAUGUAUCUGGCCAUGUUCUAUUACCACUUACUUAUUAUUUAAUUAAAUUUUAAGUUUUGCCUUAAAAUUUACACUUUUGAGGAAAAGUCGAAUGAAUUGGCCUUUAGGAUUAAGUUAACGUUUGAUCAUAUAUUUUUAAAUAUUUUUGAAAAAAAAUAGUUUGGGUGAAGUUUCAAUACAUGUUUUGGUCAUAAUUUUUGGAAAAUAUAUUUUACUUUUUUUUAAAAUGAAACAUAAUUUAUAUAUAUAAAUUUCAAAAAAACUAUUACAAAUAUUUAGAAGUUUGACAUAAUUUUUAUAAUGAACUAGAUAAUAUGCUAUUUAAAAAUUAUAAUACGAUAUUUUGGAAAAAAACUAAUAAUAAUAAUACGAUUAUCAUCUAUUAUAUUUAGUUACAAAGACCAUCGACGCAGAAAGAUAAAUGAUAAUGAUGGUAUAUAACUAUCUUUUACUAUAAUAUUUUCAUAUUCUACAAAUAAUCUUUUAAUGAGAAUGCGUUUAAUGAGUAGUCGGGUAGCUAGAUAGAAUUAUAGUUGAAAUCAUAAAGGAUGAUUUAUUUAUUUAUUAUAAAAUAUAAAUAUUUAGGGUGAGUUUAAAAUUUUAAAAGAAUUGAGAAACUAGAAUUUGGCCCCAAGACCAUUUUUUCCAGAUUUUGGGGUCUUGUGUUUUUUUUCCAAUUUUUUCUUUGACAAAUUUUAUGACUCUAUUUUUUUUCAAAAACUAUUUGCAAGAAUUAUGACUAAACGGUCCUAAGACACACGCAACCUUUUAAUUUGUUUUAUUACUCCCUUUUAUUUAAUUUAUGUGUUAUCGUUCAAAUUUUGAAAGUCAAAUAAUUUUUCGAUAAAUAUUUGACGAUAACUAGUUCAAAUAAAAAACUCAUACGGCGAAUAAUUCAUGUAUGAAACUAAAAAAUUGAUAUACUUUAGGUGUAUGAGUUUCUUGUUUGAACAAUCUAUCAUCAAAUAUUUAUCGAAACAUAUCCCAACGAGUAUUUACUUUUCCUAGCUUGAAAUAUCACCAUUGUUCAGAUAGAAAAAAUGAACAACUGAUAACUACAAUAUGAUUCUAUAAACAUUUGAUGAUAUUCCAGAUAAAAGAAAUAUCGUACACAUAAUAUUUCAAUAUAAAACUCAAAAAUCAAAAUAUUGGUAUUGGAUAUUAGGUGAUAUAUAUGAAGUAUCUUCCUCUACUGCUCCCUCAAAGGUCCUUAAAUCGUGCACUCAAUAACUUCCCAAAUAAACUAAAACUUGAAAAAGACAAAUAAUAAAUUAGAAAAUUAAUCUAAAAACCAAACAGUUGUAAAUUGAAAGUGGCUGGUGAAGAAAAGAGAAAGUUAAGUAAAGAUUCUAAUUAGAAAAAAAAAACAAUAUAGUAAUAAUACGUUCACUUCAUCUGUCUAUUCAUGUGUGGUCCAUUUAAUGAAUUUGGUUGUAUUUUGACAAUGAUAUAAAGGGGUUAUUCAAUUUCACAAUUUAAACACUAUACUUCAUCCAUUUCAUAUUACUUAACUUAUAUCGAUCUGAUACAUUCUUUAAAAAUAUAUAGUAUGAUUAACGAUCCAACUUAAUUUCAAAACAAUAAAAAUUGUGAUAGAGUAAUAAAUAUUAUUUCAUCCUUAAUCAAAAGAUCUCGAAAACGAAUUCCUUUAAAUAUAGAAUCGUCUUUAUUAAAAAGAGUUUUAAUUUUAUAAAACUUCAAUACAGAUUCGAUAAAGAUAAAUAAUUUAAUCCAUAAAUCCAAGUAGGUCUUGUAUUCAAUGAAGCAAAAUAUAGACCACCUACCGUUUGAUUGAUUAGGCAUAGCAACUUAUCUAUAUUUGGGUGUAAAAAGUCCACGUAAAUAAAUUUCUCAUCAUAGAUUCAAAAUUAUUUUGUCUUUGGGCAGAUAAGAUUCACAAAAAUUUUAAAAGAAGUGUUAGCUGCAAAUAUUACGUUUAUUAGAAAUUAAUAAAUAUAAUAUAUAAUUUACUAAAAUUAUAUAUAUUAAUUAAAUUUCUCUUUAAAAUUAAACAUCACUAUGAAGAUGAAAAAUUAGGGUAUAACUGAAAAAUAUACUCUUAAUUUUAUCUUGAAUUUGUAAGAUAACACUUUUUUGGGAUAAAAUAAUUUUGCUAACGUAGGGAGCUGGGAGCAAUAUGUUAAGUAAUAAGAGGGUUGUUUAGUUCAUGGGCGAAGUUAAUUCUUAGAUUAUAGUUUAAAUUGGGACAAAAUUAGGGGUGGACGUUCGGUAUUCAGUUCGGGAUUAUUAAAUUUCAGGUUUGAUAAUUCGGUAAUUGAUAGUUAAAAGUAGAUAUCAAAUAUCAAAAUUUUAAAUUUCGAUUCAGUAAUCGGUAAAUUAAAUUUUGGUUUGGUAUGGUAUUCGGUUAGACCGUAUUGAAGUUGUAGCCGAUUGUAUUACAAAGUUAAUUACUAUUUUUCCAAUCAUUUCUAAUUUUUUUUAUGAGGAUACACGAUAUAAUAGAAGAUCAAUAAGUAAGAAGACAUCAAGAAAAAUAAAUUGAUACAACUAAAAGACAUGUAUUUGGGUUGUUUAUGUUCAUUCUUUAACUUUUUUCUUUGGACUUGUAUUAAUGAGUAAUGAACAUGUUGAUACAUGAUUUUUAUUAAGUAAAUAAUUCGGUAUUCGGGAAAUACCAAAUAUCAAAUGGUACUAAUGUCUUAAAUCAAACCCAAAUUACCCGAAUACCAUAAUUCUAUAAUUUUACUCCUGAAUACCCAACCAAAUACCCAAGUACCAAAUUAUCAAAAUAUUUGGUUUGAUUCGAUAAUUCGAUUUUUGAUAUUUUAUGUCCAGUCCUAGACAAAAUAAGACUAUUUUAUCUUUAAUCAAACAAAGUGUUCCUUCUGUUUCAAUUGAAUUAUUCUGUUUUGACUUUAUACGAAAUUUUAAAAAGUAAAAAAAAAUUGAAUCUUAUGAUCUUAAAUUAAAAAUAUGUAAAAUAUGUCAAAAUAUUCAAUUCACAUGUCUUUCUUGGUUGGAUAAAUAAAUUUAUUUUCAGCAAUCAAAUUGCGAUCCACUUUCUACGUUUGCUGAGUAGACCAUGCCUCUUGCAUUGAUGACUUUGGCCCUCCGUUGGCUUUAAUCGAGGAAAACAUGGAUCGUGAUUAUAAUAAAAAAGAUGCAGAUGGCAUCUCUUAGGAAAAAAUAAAAUAAUCACCAAUGAACUAAUACUUGAUACUUAAAUAAAGAAGAAACUAGAAAGAAAUUAUUUAUACGCUAUUAUCAACCAAUAAAUUCAGCAACACUAUAAGCAAUGAAACUUCCGUCUCAUUUACUUGCCUGAUGAAUCAAUCCCUAAGAAACCCCCAAAAGGGCUUCCAUCUAAUGGGUACACGAAAAUGAUCAAAAGAAUGAAUGACCAUUAGAGGAGGAAUAGCGAUAUAAAUUGAUUUCGUACUACGUUUUCUAUCUUCACACAAAAAAAGAGAUAUUUCUUUUGAUAAAAACUAAAAAAAGAAGAAGUUAAACAAACAAAUUAAAAUGAACGAAAUACAUAAUUUAAUCUCAAAAAACCUAUCUAUGUGAACCAAGUAACCCCUAACAAAUUGUAAACAUGGGUAUGGGUCCCAUUCAUCCAAAACUAAAGUUAAACCGUCCAAACCAAUUUUAUGAAUCUGUCAGUCUAUCAAUGCACUUAUCUUUGGGCUUGGAUUUGAUGCUUUUGUGUUGAAAAGUCUCCAAUUCUCAUCUCUGAUGCCAUCUCCUAAUCUUUUAGAAUUAUAGAGUAUGGAGCAUGGGGUUCCUUGUCCUUUAUCAUCUAGUUGCUACAACAUCAAUGUAUCAAACAUAAUUUGGGAAACUAAUACAAAUUUCACUAGUGUAGGAGCUAAUUACUUAGAUAUACGCUAGUUUGCAAUAUUAUGAAUCUCAUCAGAUUUUGGUGCGUCCAUGUCCAGAUACAUAUAUCUUAGGAUAUUUAUGAGGUCAAAAUUAAGAGUAAUGUGUUCUAGACUGUAUCCAAUUGAAUCUGCAUGUAUUUGAGAUACAUAACAAAUCUCGCUCGCCACUCUCACAUGUAUCUGGUAUCUCAUAUGCAUGCGAAUUACACCAGGUACAUAUAAAUACAUGUAUCUAGUGUGUAUUUGGUGUGAUUCGCAUGCAUCUGAGAUACAUGACUAUCUCGCUCGCCUCUCUUCUUUAGUGUAUUUCAUGAGAACAAAAAUGCAUGUAUCUAGGUGUAUAUUCCGCAUUAUUUGACAGAAAACUCUUAAUUAAUAAUAAGAUACGUAAUUAUUUUGAAAUAUAGAUAAAAUUAAUAUAGGGAAAAGGGACAAAUAUACCCCCGAACUUUUGUAAAUGGUAUGCGUAUACCCUUCGUUAUACUUUUUAGGACGUCAGUAUCCUUGCCGUCCAAAUUUUGGAGCAUAUAUACCCUUUAAGUUAACGGUGGUACACGUGUCUCGAUCUUAACCACUGACCUAAUAUUUGUUAAAUUUCUAGACCCAAAAUUAAAAAAAAUCCACCCGAAUUAAUUUAGAAACCCGCCCAAAUACAUAAUACCCAUAACACAAAAAUAUUUAACCAAAAUCCCCCAAAUCAAUUCACUUAAUUUCAAAUUAAGCAACUUAAACACUUGUUUAGCAGCAUCUUUCCCCGUCUUCAUCCCCAAAUCAUCCUCAACACUAAGGGGCCGUUUGGUUACUGUAUAAGUUGCAUUUUAUCCAUGUAUAAAAAGUUGCAUUACUUUUACCAUGUUUGGUAGAAAUUUUGUAUUAGGUGGAAAAGUCAACAUAACUUAUAUCAUGUUUGGUUGGUAGAAUUAUAAAUGUUGUAUAAAAGUUAUUCAUGUAUUAAUUUUAUACAGUGUUUGGUUGUGUUUUUUGUAGUCCUACAUAAUUAAUACCAACAUAACUUAUGAGGGAAUCUAUGUAUAAGUUAUGCAGGGUAGAAGGUGGAAUAAGUUAUACAGGUAUUAGUUAUACAUGUAUUAAAAUAGUAAAUUACACAUUUACCCUUAUUGAUUUAUUUUUAAUUAUUUUCAUUGAAAAUGUUAUCCAACUAUGCUAUUUUCCUAACUUUUUUUUUAAUUACACGAACAACUUUUUUUUUCUGUUUUCAUUUGAAAUCCAAAUGUAAUAUUUUAUUAAUAUUUGAAAUUGAAUUGUAUAUAGCGUUAUAUAUUAUUAAAUAUAUUCCACUUAUUUAAUUGACAUGUAUUAUUAUUUUAUUUAGGAUGUGAAUUUAUACAUAAUUCAUAUAUUUGGUAUAUUAAAACUGUAUAAACAAUAUAUACAACAUAUUGAUAGAAUAUUUACAUUAUAUAAAAAUAGGGAUAUUAUAAUGUACUUGAAAUAUAUUAAUUGUAUUUUAUUUUUAUAGGUUAUAAACAUAAAAAAAAUAACAAAAUGAAAAAAUAGCAGUCCUAAUUAAGUAUAGAGGGAUAAAAAAAUUUCUUUACUUUUUAUUCAAAAAAAGAGAGAAUUUAUACUAUUUGCUUACUUAUUUAUUUAUUUGUAAGUGAUAUAUAUUAAUUUACAACAAAUUCAAUAUUUAUUAGUUAAUAAUUUGUGCAUUGUGAUCUCUACAUAAUUAAAUAAUGUAUGCAUAACUAAUACUUGCAUAACUAAACCCUGCAUAACUAAACCCUACAUAACUAAUACCUGCAUAAUUAAAUCCUGUAUAACUAAUACCUGCAUAACUAAAUCCUGCAUAACUAAACCCUACAUAACUAAUACCUGCAUAACUCUAACCAGUAACCAAACGGCCCCUAAAUCCCCAACAAUUUCUCCUCAACUGUCUCAUAGAAGAGGAAGACCCAUCCAAACAAGCAUAAAGACUGAUACUAGGAUUUGGUUAAGUAGUAGGGUUAGAUUUGUUUGGAGAGAAGAGGUGAAUGAGAAAGAGAAGGAGUUUUGGGGUCGGAGUAGAAUCUUAAAUUAGGUGAUUUUUUUAAUUUUUUUUUAAAACAAACUCAGAAUAUGGAAAAAAUAAAUCAACUCAUAGAAGAGUUAUUCCUCAAAGCCAAAAUCAACAGCAAUUGUCAAUAGUCGUUAUUCUACCAGCAUUCCAAGAAACUAAGUACCAUAGUUGUCUUCUUGAUAUUUAUAUAAAACUCAACUUUUACUUCCCUAAAUUUCUCGAAUAAACUGAAGUAUCUACUAAUUUACUAAAAUCUGAGUUAUCCAAUCUUAUCUUUGGCUUCUCCCUCGAAUCAUCUUGGAAAAAAGUUGUAUUUAGAUGGUCUGUCUCUUCAUGAAUUGUGGAAGGGGAGAUCUUAAGGCGUGUCGGCCUUCUUGGCUAAUGAUUUAAAAUGUUUUGUGUGUUUCUUCUCUGUUCCAGCAGAAGGCUUACUGCCAAGUUGAUGAGCUUUUCCUUUCUUCUUGUGCUCAUUCACAAGGGACAUAGGCAAAUUACUUCCAUUCAUUAUGAUAUUGUAGUUGCUAGAAAGCCUAUCCUGGAUCUCUUCUCUAAAGGAUUCCAAUUUCUCCCGAGUAUUGAUGAACCAUCGGGGAUCUGGCUGUAUCCUCGUUAACGGAAGCUGCUUUGAUUGAUACUCGUGCUUCAAUAUUUUGCCCUUCCGAUCACGCUUCGGCCUACAAUUAUACAUCUUCAGCCGCCGUGUAGUGGCGGAGCUACGGUUGCCACUUUUGUUCUUCUCCCUUAGGUGAAUUGAUUUGGGGAUUUGAGUUACUAUUUUCGGGUCAUGGGUAUUAUGUAUUUGGGCGGGUUUCUAGAUUAAUUCGGGUGGAUUUUUUUAAUUUUGGGCAGAAAUUUAACAAAUAUCAAGUCAGUGGUUAGGAUCGCGACACGUGUACCACCGUUAACUUAAAGGGUAUAUAUGCUCCAAAAUUUGAAUGACAAGGAUACUGACGUACUAAAAAUAUAACGAAGGGUAUACGCAUACUAUUUAUAAAAGUUCGGAAAUAUAUUUAUCCUUUUUCCCAUUACUAUAUUAUAAUAUAGAUAUAUGUCUAAUAAAAUAUAUAUUUUUCAUUUAAUUUCAUAAGUGAGAUUUCAAAUGAAUGACCUAUAAGUAACAAAAAUAUUUUUGACAUACAAAAAAAAUAAACAUGCAAAGCAAUUAUCAUUUACCUACUACUCUAGGUAAAAUACAAAUUAUUCCCACUUCAUUGAGGUGUAACAUGUGAAAAAAUGGCCCCAUUUAAGGGUGUGCUUGCUUGUUUGGUAUAAAAAAAAAGGAGAGGUAAUAUUAAAUAAUAAAACAUGUUACAUGUGCUAGGUUAAUAAAUAAAAAAAUUACGCGAUUAAGUAAAUCUAUUCUACCAAUUUUUUUACUAUAGUCAUAGUUUAAAUAGAUAAUCAUUCCACAUGUAGAAAUUUGUCUACUUCUACAUGCUUGUACAAUCUUGUUAUAUCAAAUUAUGCGUAAUAUCACGUGGAGUUAUCAUCAAAAUAUAAUUGAAUUGGAUCUAUCAAUAAUAUCACGUAUAACUUAAAGAGUUUAUUUUUCCUAUUUUUUUCAAUAGAAAAGUCAUUUCAUUGUUCUAAGUUUUUAAAAGCUUAUUUUUAAAAAUAAAAUAAAAUACUUUAGUUAACCAAACAUGAAUUUAAUUAUAUUUUUCCCCAUACCAAACACAAUGUUUAAAGCUCCACUUUUAAGUCUUAUUAAAUUCAUAACAUGGACCACAGUUAACUUAAUUCUUUUGAGAAUGGGCCUAGUCUUGGAUGGGACGUGGACCACAAUUAUAUUCAUAAUAACCCAUAACGAAUUUAAUAAAGAUAUAUUUGAAUAUACGAUACGAAUUCAUGAUAUAAAAUUAGAUGUUAUGAAAUCAAACUAAAUAGAAUUGAUAAUUGACUAGUGUGAGCUUAAUAACUGAGUGAUAAUGCAUGUUAAACAUCUAAACAUAUAUCACAAGAAAAUACAAAUAACUAUUGAAAACUAACAAAGUUGUAAAGCAUGCUAAACAACUAAAUAAUAUCACUUCAUAUCAAGAAACAUGUAGAAAGUGUGAAAUUGUGUAAAAUCAUAGGACCCUCACAAAUCACAAUCAAAUGUUGAUACUUCAAAUUAUUCUUUUUGUUAGUAUCGAUUUGAUUCUUCACUUUAUAAUUCUUUUUUUUCUUCUUAAUUUCUAUAUAUAAUUAUAUAGAUAAUUUAAUAUAGAGAAGUAUUGACAACACUUUUAAAUUAGGCGUAAAUUAUUAGUUAUAUUUCCGAACUAUUGACAACCUUAAAAACAUCCUUUUACUUGACUAACUGAAUUUAAAUACACCCCUAAAUUCUCACCAAAUUUAGGGGUGUUUUCAACACUUCACUCGACUUUUUAUUAUGAGCCAUAUGUCAUAUGAGAGUUUGAUACCACUUGCUAUGUCAUGUGGCAAAUCGUGGAUAUGAUCGAGUAUAUAUCAAAGUUUAGUUAGUCAAGUAGAGGAGUAUUUUUAAGACUGUCAAUAGUUCACGAACGAAACUAAUAAUGACAUAAUACAUAAACAUGAUCAUUAACUUGGCUUCAGCUGACAACUAUGACAUUUAACUUUGGGUGUACACAAAUAGACUUAAACUUGCAAAAAAUUGAAUAAAUAGACACAUUCGUCAUCCAUGUCAAUUUUGUGUCUUACGUGUAUUAUGUCAUGUAUGACAAGUGUGUCUACUUGUUUAAUUUUAUACAAGUUUAAAUGUCGUACACACUCAAAGUUGGAAGGCAUAGUUGUCUGUCGAAGCCAAGUUAAGGGUCAUGUUUAUGUAUUAUGUCAAUAAUAAUUUGCACCAAGUUCAGAAUAUUUUCAAUCCUUCUCUCAUAAAUAUAUUAAUAGAAAAACACAUUCAACUUUAAUUUGGGGGUAAAUACACGAGUUAUUAAAGAAUUUAAUCAAACACAUAGUUUGCAGAAGAAUUAUUGAAUUCAUUUUACUAGUCGAAUAGUAGAAUCACAUAUUUAUGAAAAAGGAACCAUUAUUUAGCGACGUAUCACAAUCCACCAACUCUUGCUCAGAUAGUGAUAUCAAAUCCCCGGUUACUAUUGCGUUUAUUGAUUCAAUGGAAGCAACGGCACAGAAUGCCCAACAACACCCUGGUUCAUUUCAUCGAGUUGGUAGCUGGUUAGAAUUAUGCAAGUAUUAGUAAUGUAGAUAUGUAUUAUUUUAUGCAGGAUUAAUUUCUUCAAAACUUAUAUAUUUAUUAGUCAUGCAAGUUUCAAAAUUGUCAACUAACCAAACAUCAUAUUAAUUUUAUACUAUCAAAUAACUUAUUUCUUAUUUAUCUAUCUAUCAGAUAAUGUUGUAUAAGUUAUACAAAAAGUAAUAUACGUUUACUAAGCAACCAUGCUUUUGCUUUGUUGAUGAGUAGACUUGUUGUACUUUUGCUCUUUGGUGGGCUUUUAUCAAGGAAAUUAUGCUUUUCUUUUCAAAAUUACCAUAAAAUAGAUGGUUGAUUCAAUUCAUAAGGAAAUAGAAGGAUACCAUCUUUCUUGAAAAAAAAAAGAGAAGAUAAAUAACCACUUAUAAACUAAAAUUUGACACUUAAAAGGAGAAAGUAAAAAGAAAAUCGUUAUACGCUAUUAUUAUCCAAUAAAUUCAUUGCAACACCACAAACAAUGAGUCUUCUAUCUCGCUUACCUACCCGACAAAUAGAUCCCUAGGAACCUCCAAAAGAACUGUUGUUCGAUGUGUACACAAAAGUGAUCAAAAGAAUGAAGGAUCACUAGAGUGGAAAGCAAUAUAAAUUGGUUCUAUACGAUAUUUUCUAUCUUUGUAAUGAGAAUAUUUUUUUGAAAUAGACAAAAAAAAUAAAAAAUAGAACAAACAUAUUGAAACGAUGAAAAUACAUAAACAUAAUCUCAAAAUAUCGAUGUCAUCCUUUGAACCAAGCAACUUGUAAACAUGAGAUACGGGUCCCAUUCAUCCAAAAUAAGUUUUUGAGCCGUUUAUCACGUUGGAUUUGUCAGUCCAUUAAGAAAAAAUAAUGAAACUAGACAAAAUUAACAAUUUAUUUAUGAAAAAUAAUUUUAAAAAUAUUCUAAAAAAAAGUAAUAUGUUGUUUUUAUAAUAAACUUUUUCCCUCUCUUGCCCUCUCCUCUCUCUCUGUACCCUUCCCCUCUCUUCCUUCAAUUGUAUUUGUAUUUGUAAGAAUAUAAUACUCUUUCAUCAUCUCUGUCAAAUGUAUUUGUAUUCAAUCAAAAAGAGGAUGAACAUAGUUGUCUUUGUUGUAUUAAAAGGAAAAUGAUCAACUAAUAUGGAAAGGAGGUUUUACAAUCACAUUUUAGUGAUGCAUAAUCACGAAGAAGGCACCAAUACCAGAAAAUGGUAUAUACUGAAUUGCCUAGAGCAAUAUAUGACAGUAAAAGUGUGUUCGAUCCAAAGAAUAAUAUUUUUCAUGAAAAAUGCUUCUUUUUUUUAAAUAAGUGAAUUGACUUUUUUUUAUGUGUGUGUUCGAUAUGUAUGUAAAAAAAAGUUAAACUAAAAUUAUUUAUAUAUAAUCAUAAUAAAUACUAUGAGAGGUAGAGGUUGAGUAGUGAAGGCAUGAUGUCGUAGGUAUGGGGCUACGGGAAGUGGAGGGGAAUGAAGGACAUAAUCUACUUGGCAUGUCAUUUGUAGAACUUCUUUUCUCUACUUAGAUUGACAAUAUUAUUUUACUCAUUUUUAAAGCAAUUUAAUUUCCUAAAAAAAAUAUUAGAAUAAUAAAGCUAAUAUAUGGAGGUAUAUCUCUAAAUUAUCUCUUAAUUAAUAUAUUUAUUUUAUUAAAUUAUAUAAUCAUAAUAAAUUGAAUUAAUUUGAUAAAUUAAUGUUUUCAUAAAUCACAUCAUCAUAAUAAAUUGAAUUAAUUUGACAUAAAUUGAGGAUGAAUAAAUUUUAUAUUAUUUUUUUGAAUAAAUAUUUGAAUUAAUGUUGGAUUAUCAAAAUUCAAAUCCAACUAGGAUUACAUCUUACAAUUACAAACUUAAAAAACCCUUUUAUUUUCCUCUUUGCCUAUUCUUAAUUUCAUCGUUCAAAAUUUUCAGAGAAAGCAAAAAAGGGGGCAAAAAUGUCUGACGGAAUCGCACGUGGUCGUCUUGCUGAGGAGCGCAAAUCAUGGCGGAAGAAUCAUCCACAUGUACUCUCUCUGCCCUUUUUGAUUAUUAUUAUUUUUGCGCUAAAAGUACUUUUUUGUUUGCUUUAUCAAUGCACAUUAAUGGAUUUUAAGAGUCUGUUGAUUUGAUGGUUCGAUGGGUAUCUUCUCUGUUUUCUUUAGGGUUUUGUGGCUAGGCCGGAAACUGGUGCAGAUGGGUCUGUCAAUUUGAUGGUGUGGAAUUGUUCUAUCCCUGGAAAAGCCAAGGUGAAUAAAGUUUCUUGCUUUUCAUGACUAAUUUCAAGUUUUGUAAUUUUUGUAUGGAUGACUUAUUAGUAGUGAAAUUGGGGAAGUUAGAAUAUAUAUAUAUGUACGAAUUAAUCAUGAUAAUUAAUAAAAGAGUGUCCGCUUGUGUGAGGUCGCUCACAUUGUUUGUUCCGAGUAGGGGUGACAAAAUCAAACCCAACCCGUCUAACUUAUCCAAUCCGUUUAAGUUUGGACGGGUUAUUGACCUGCUCAUUCAUUACCUCAACCCAUUAAUUGAUAUGUAAGUCGAAUUGGCUCAGGAGAAAUCUUGUCAAAAUAAUUUUUAAAAACUUUUUUUUCAAUUUGGUAUGUUAUAUAUAGUCAAAAUAAAGAAAAAAUAAUUUUAUUAGAUACUAAAGUAAUUUAAAAGAACAAAUAAAACAAUUAAGCUUAGUAAAAAUUGGGAUUGAGUUGGGUUUUGACCUGUUAUAUAACACAUUAACUAACCCGUUUUGAUCCAAGCAAAUUUGGGUUGAGUUGAGUUUUGACCCAAUUAUUGUCUUCAUCCAUUAUGACUUGCCCAAAUUUGACUCAAUCCGCCCAGUUGCCACCACUAGUUCCAAGUCUAGAUAGAGGAGUAGGGUUGAGGUAGCUUGGUAGCUAUAGUGAAACUUGUCAAUUUAUGAUGAAUUUUCAUAAUUGAUAAAAGCCUAUAAAACAUAUGUAUAUUCAGUGGUUUGGUGCAAAUUCCUCGUUCGUAAAUGGAAUUUUUGGGCUAGAAUUUGUCUACUUCUUUUAGCAACUUAUUGUUGAUCGUUUUUCCUUGCUUUGGUGUUGAAAAUUAGUGGUUUUGUGCUGUAAUUAACUUUAAUUCGUAGGUUCAUGAGGGUGUUUAUUGAUUCUAUGUUAUGAGAACUGUGAAGAAAAGAUUGUGCAAUCUAAUUAAUAUUUAGACACAUCAAUUUGGAUAUUUACGCGGCAAUUAUAGAAAGUAUUCUAUUAGAUUAGUCGUGACUUGAGAAAUUACACUUUAUGUUUGAAAUAACAACAUACCCAAUGUGACCAAUAAGUGGGGUUUGGGGGUAGAGUAGAGUGCGCUUAGGUCCUUGUGUUAGGUAGAGAACUUGUUUCCGAUAGACUACAAUCAGGUAUCCGUGUCUCUCUUUGAUACAAAAACCAUUGAAGGUGUUCACAAAAUUCAUCUUACUGAAUUAUUCACAGAGUUUGUAGUCGUCAGUUAUGGACCUUAAAGCAAUUUGUGUUGCAUUUUGAGAGUCACUCAAGUCCUUGAACUCUGUCGCAAUUUUCUAAACAAAGAAAGUUAUAACCUUACAGCGUUGUAAGGUAAGCAUGACUCCCUGGAUUUAAUAUAUGGAGUAAGAAGAAUAUGAUCUUCGCGAGGAUGUAAAAGUCCAUUUUCUUAAAGUACCAUAAGGUUUGAACUUUAAUUGCUUUGGUGUGUAUAUAAAUUGCAUAAAAAUGACAGAAUGUUUUGUUGAAAUGCUUUUAGUUUCAUAGGUUAGUUGCGUAAAUAAUCAUGGGAUAUUCUUUCCACAUUUCAUGCGAAAGGAUGUUUUGUUGAAAUGGUUUGAGUUUCUGAAUGAUGCUCUAAUAAGCGUUGUACACUUUUGGAAAGUUUUAUUACAUUUAAUCCUUUACGGUUUGAUGUGAAACAUAUUCUGGCUUCUGCAAGUCUUUACGGUGUUGAAACUCUGCUUUCCCCUUCCCUCAGUUCUUCCUCUAAUAUUUGUCAGCAAUAGUGAUAUGAUAUUUUAACUGGUAUGGUACAGACUGACUGGGAAGGUGGCUUCUAUCCAAUAACAAUGAACUUCAGCGAAGACUUUCCUAGCAAACCACCCAAAUGCAAGUUUCCUCAAGGUUUCUUUCAUCCUAAUGUCUAUCCAUCGGGAACAAUAUGUUUGUCUAUUCUCAAUGAGGACAGUGUAAGUUCUUGUCGUUGUUAUUUUGUUACUUUGUUAGUAUUGUCAAUUGUUAUAUCGGUUUCAAGAUGACUCUUAUGAUUAUUCCGUUGGUUAUAUUCUUGUUUAGGGGUGGAGGCCUGCCAUUACAGUUAAACAAAUUUUGGUGGGUAUCCAAGAUUUGCUUGUUCAGCCAAACCCCAGUGAUCCAGCACAAACAGAAGGUUUUCAGCUAUACAUGCAGGUAGCUACUCGAGCUUGAUGUGUACUUCAUUGAACUUUUUCAGGAAAAAAAUUAAGUUUGCAUUUUGAUUUUGAUUUUAACUUGUCGUUACUAUAUGUGACCUUGCUUUUGCAGGAUGGUGCUGAGUACAAGAAACGAGUGAGACAGCAGGCCAAGCAGUAUCCAGCUCUUGUCUAACAUUAGUUAGUUAUGAAUUAUACAAUUAUGCGACAUUGUUAGUCCUCAUUGACAUGGUGGCCGUUUGGCUAAUUUGGUGCUUAUCUUCUUUAUGAUUGAACAAUGAAUAUAGUCAGUGUGCAACAUGCAUGCUAUCUGUUAUUUUGACAAUGUGAUUAAUCUAUUGAUUAUAUUUUAUUAUCUCGUUUAUCUUGUCUUGUGAUACAUUAUACAAGCAAGGUUAACGUCCUUGAUGCUUAUUGUAGGAAGGUUAAGGAGUGCUUAGUGCAUUGAAUUUUCAAUUACACUUCCAAGGUGCCAAAAACAUGGCAUUUGAGCUCCUCUAUUAGUGCAGUUAGAUGAUUAUAAGAAGAGCCUCCUUUUUCCACAGCCCUCUUAAUCAUUGUUUCGACAUCUUUUGCUCUGCUUCUGAUCUUUUCACUUUCCUUGGAGGUGUUCAUCAACAUUUUCACACUCGCCUCUAUCUUCUCCUUGUUGACAAUUGUAUCCGUGAUGUCAAAAGUACUGUGGCACACCUCUGCCCCAACUCUAACCCCACAUCCAAGAACCUCCACCAGCUUCUCAUUGUAGAACUGCUCCGCGAAUAAGGGCCAUGUCAGCAUUGGCACUCCGACUGUAAGAGAUUCCAGGGUGGAGUUCCAGCCACAAUGAGUCAUGAACGCUCCAGUUGCUGGAUGGUUCAAGAUCUUCAGCUGUGGCACCCAUCCUCUGACUAUCAAACCUUUCUUGUUUGUAAGCAUUUUUUCCUUAAAGCUAGUAGGCAUCCAGCUUUCUUGCUCAUUUUCUUGGGGUUUGUCUCCCUUCUUUACCACCCAAAGAAACGAUGAAUUCGAGGCCUCAAGAGCCAAGGCAAUUUCAUAGAGCUGAGCAUCAGAAAACCUGCCCAUACUUCCGAAACAAAUGUACACAACAGAGCUUGGUUCUUGAGAAUCAAGCCAACUUAGGCAGCUGUGUCGCUCUUGAACUGAAGUGUUCCUUGAAUUGCUUGCUUCUUCUCUCUUUGAAAAGUGAAACAAAGGACCAAUCAACCAUGGUUUUUUACCUUUGAUUUCCUUGUAAAGCUCAGCGUAAGUAGACUCCAGGUCAUAGAUAGUGUCAUGAAUCACGGCAUAGCUUCGAGGUUCUGAUUCUUUAAUUCUCUUCAUCAUUUCCCAGUAUGGUCCUUCAGGUUUGGUUUUAAUACCCUCUGGCAAUUGAGAUCUUUUCAUUUCAAUCUGAUCUGGUAAACCUGGAAUCAAGAAACUUUCUGAAUCCGAACUUACCUUCUCAUGAGGCGUAUGCACGUUCAAACAAUGUUCAACACAGUGGUACAUAAGAUUAUGUGGAUAAAAUGUAACUCUAGGUAUCUUCAGUUGCUCAGCUACGUCCACCGUCCAUGUAAGGCACACAUCUGAAAUAAUGCAAUGAGGACGAAGCUCAACAAUAAGAUCUUCGAUUGGUUUCUGAAGCAAAGCAAUUCCCAUAAAUAACAUAGCCAUUUCUGAGGCAGUGACUGCAGUGAAGUUUUCGAUCCCUUCUGGUAAGCCUACUUCAUCAGAUGGGAACUUGAGUUUGUGGAUGAAGAUCUGGUUGCCAGAAUCCUUGAUAGAGGACUCGAAAAGGAGGGCAUUAUAGUGUGUGGUUAUAAUGGUAACUUUGACUCCAUGGCUAGCAAAAAGUCUAGCUAUAUCAACUAAGGGGAUCAUAUGACUUGGUGUAAAGUAUGGAACAAAAACUACAUGGAGUUCACUAUUUUCUUGUGCCAUUAGUGCUUACCUAAGAAUGGGAGAAGUAGAGUGAGAAACAACUGAAAAUGUUACUAACCUUACAUUAGAUUCAGACAUAACAUAGAUAGCCUAAAAAAUCAUGUUUUGUUUUUAUAGAUCAUGAGAAAAACAUUAAAAUGCACGGUAUGUUUCUUUAACAAAUCUUAUUUUGGACUAGUUGUUAUGUUCAAUCAAUACAUUGAAUGGUUCUCCUGUGUUAUCUUUCUGCAGAAAAGUUAUGAAAGGGAGAUGUGGGCCUCAAAAUACUAUUUCCUCUGUUUCAAUUUAUGUGAUGUUGUUUGAUUUGAUACAAAGUUUAAAAAAGUAAAUGUGUAAUAGAUGUUUGUGUGGUCGUAAAUCACCCCAAUUGUUACUAAAUAUAGAAAUGUGUCAUUCUUGUUGGGACUGACUAAAAGGAAAAGUGUGUCUAAAUUGGGACAGAAUGAACAUGUGGUCCUACAAAGUGAGGUAGGGAUCGAACGUUUAAAGUGAGUAGUUGAAAUAAUGUUGCUUUUCAUGAGUAAAUUAAGAAACACAAAUUCAAUCACUCUGUAGUAGGUGUAGCAUGAGUACCAAAAACAAUGUGUACUGCAGAGUGGUAAGCGUUACUGAAUAGAUAACAUUACCUUUACUUGUACACUUAUGCCGUUGUCAUAGUUUAAGCACAAAAAUAUCACAGCUCUUGUUUGAUAUUUGUGCCUUCCGAACUAUAUAAUUAUGCAGCACUGCAUAGUGGCCUGUGGCUAAUUUGGUGUGCACUUCUUUAUGUUUUGACGAUGAAUACAGUCUCUGUGUGUGACAUGCAUACUGUCAUUUUUUCAGCGCGGUUGGUCCAUUAAUUAUUUCAGUUUUUACUCGCGGUGUUCUUUUGUGCUAACAAUCUUUCAGUUGCUGAUUGUAGAAUGCACCUGGACAAAACAUGAUAAACUUCUCAUUUGAUAAGUGAGUUUUCUUCAUGUAUUAUCACAUAUUUUGCUGUCUUAAAAAUGUAAAGAAAUAUAGCAACUAUAUCCCUUAUUAAAUGCAACUCAUUUGUUAAUAGCUAUAUUUGAGAUAAGGGAAAUCAUUGUUUACAGAUUCACCUAGUUUCAUUUUCUUAUUUGGUGGAUCCCUUGUUUGAAACACUCUUUAAGAGUUUUUUGUCUAUAAAAGAUUGCUUGAAACAACAACGACGACAUACCCAGUGUAGUCCCAUAAGUGGAGACUGAGGAAAAGAUUGCUUGAAACAUAACAUGUUAUUUCCUUUUUUUCCUGUUCUUCUGUCAUGUAAUGCACGAGGAGGCGUGGUGCUUAUUGUAGGAAAAAUAAGGAGAGCUCAAUGCAUUAAGUUUUCAGUUACUCUUUCGAGGUGCCAAAAACGUGGCACCUGAGCUCCUCUAUUAAUGCCGUUAGAUGAUUAUAAGAAGAACCUCCUUUCUCCACAGCCCUGUUAAUCAUUGCUUCGACGUCUUUUGCUCUACUUUUGAUCAUUUCACUUUCCCCGGAGGUGUUCAUCAACGUCUUCAAACUCACCUCUAUCUUCUCUUUAUUGACAAUCGUAUCCUUGAUGUCAAAAGUACUGUGCCACACCUCUGCCCCAAUCCUGACUCCACAUCCAAGAACCUCCACCAGCUUCUCAUUGUAGAACUGCUCCGCGAACAAUGGCCAUGUCAGCAUUGGCACCCCGGCUGUGAGAGAUUCCAGGGUGGAGUUCCAGCCACAGUGAGUCAUGAACACUCCGGUUGCUGGAUGGUUCAAGAUCUUCAGCUGUGGCACCCAUCCUCUGACUAUCAAAACUUUGCUGUUUGUAAGCAUCUUUUCCUUGAAGCUAGUAGGCAUCCAGCUUUCUUGGGGUUCAUCUCCCUUCCUUACCACCCAAAGAAACGAUGAAUUCGAGGCCUCAAGAGCCAAGGCGAUUUCAGUAAGCUGAGCAUCAGAGAACCUCCCCAUACUUCCGAAACAAAUGUACACAACAGAGUUUGGUUCUUGAGAAUCAAGCCAACUCAAGCAGCUGUGUCGUUCUUGAUGUUGAGUAUUUCUUGAAUUGUCUGCCUCUUCCCUCUUUGAAAAAUGAAACAAAGGACCAAUAAGCCACGGCUUUUUACCUUUGAUUUCUUGAUAAAGCUUAGCAUAACUCGGCUCUAGAUCAUAGAUAGUGUCGUGAAUCAUAGCGUAGCUCCGAGGUUCUGAUUCUUUAAUUCUCCUCAUCAGCUCCCAAUAUGGUCCUUCAGAUUUAGUUAUAAUAUUCUCUGGCAAUUGAGAUCUUUUCAUUUCUAUCUGAUCUGGUAAACCCGGAAUCAAGAAACUUUCUGAAUCCGAACUUACCUUCUCAUGAGGUGCAUACAAUUUCAAACAAUGUUCAACACAGUGGUACAUAACAUUAGUCGGAUAAAACAUAAGUCUAGGUAUCUUCAGUUGCUCUGCCACAUCCACAGUCCAUGGGAAAAACAUGUCUGAAACAAUGCAAUGAGGACGAAGCUCGAAAAUAAGACUUUCCAUUGGUUUUUGAAGCAGAGGAAUUCCCAUAAACACACUUAUAGCCAUUUCUUGGCUAGUGGCAGCACUGAAGUUUUCGAUCCCUUCUGGUAUGCCUACUUCAGCUGAUGGGAAUUUGAGUUUGUAGACGAAUAUUUUGUGGCCUAAUUCAGUAGCAUGAUCGAUUGAGGACUCGAAAAGGAGGGCGUUGUAGGUGGUGGUGAUGAUACUAACUUUGACACCAUGACUAGCAAAAAGUCUAGCAAUAUCAACUAAAGGGAUCAUAUGACUUGGUGUGAAAUAUGGAAUGAAAACUACAUGGAGUAGUUCACCAUUUUUUUGUGCCAUGACCUUACUUGAAGAAGGGAUGGAAAUUCACUUAACAACUUAAAAUGUUACUAACUUAAUAUUAGAUUCAGACAUAUUACAGAUAGCCUAAAAAAGUCAUGAAAAAGCCAUUAAAAUACUAAGUAUGUUUCUUCAAGGAAUCUUAUCUUGGAUUAUUAUUAUAUUCAAUCAGUACACUGAGUGGUACUCCCUAUGUUAUCUUUCUGCAGAGCAGUUGAAAGCAAGUAAGGGUGUGCAUUGAUCGGUUCGGUUCGGUUUAGUUUUAAUGUAUUAUUGGUUUGGUUUAUUGAUUUUGGUUUUUAAAUAUGUUAAACCAAUAAGAUAUUUUUUAUUGAUUUCAAUUUAUCGAUUUUGGUCCUUAACGGUUCGGUUUUUAGUUUAAUCAAUAAGAAAAUGCUUAUAAAACAAAUAUUAUGACUUCUCCAACGUCAAUUUGACGUGACAAGACAAUAAUGUAACUUUAUAGAACGCUCAUAAGAUAGAAACAAUAAUAACUAACAUGAAAAGAACUAUACAAGUGCAACACAAAGAGAAAUUAAGAGGAAUAGAGUUCUUACUUUAGGUUUUGACAUUUUGUAUAAUGUGAAAUUGUGAACUCAAAGUUAGUCUGAAGUGUGAAUUGAAGGCUAAAGGACAAAGAUAGUAACCAAUACUGAGAUAAAUAGUUAAUAGUGUUGCUUGUCAUGAGCAUUAUUUCAGUUUUUACUUGUGAUUCAUAAGACAAAAGCAAUAAAAUCACUCAACUUAGCACAUUCCCUUAUAAAAUUGUUCAACUACGUAGAUUAUAAAAAGCCUGACAUGACAAAAUAUAUUAUUUUUCAUGUCAGGGAAACAUGGACUCCAUUAGAGCUAGGCCUGAAUGCUAAAAUUAGAAAUAUCGGAUCGAACCGAAUUAAUUCGAUUCUUUGGUUCUUCGGUUGGGAAUGAUUUUUUUUUUCAAAAGCUCGGUUAAUCGGUUUAAGAGUUCCAGUUCUUCAAUGUGUCAAUUUUAUUCCCAGCUCUAUAGUUAUACAGGUUCACAUAGCUUCAUUUUCUUAUUUGGUAGAUCCCUUAUUUGAAAGUUGAAACACUCUUUAAGAGUUUUUUGUCUAUAAAAAGAUUGCUUGAAACAACAACAUACUCAGUGUAGUUCCACAAGUGAUGUCCGGGGAAAAGAUUGCUUGAAACAUAACAUGUUAUUUCGUUUUACCUUUUCUUGUGUUAUGUAAUGCACGCGAGGCAUGAUGCUAUUUUAGGAAAAAUAAGUAGAGCUCAGAAUGUUAAAUUUCUUACUACUCUUCUGAUAUGCCAAAAGCAUGACACUUGAUCUCCUGUAUUAAUGUUGUUAGAUGAUUAUAAGAAGAACCUCCUUUCUCCACAGCCCUGUUAAUCAUUGCUUCGACGUCUUUUGCUCUACUUUUGAUCAUUUCACUUUCCCCGGAGGUGUUCAUCAACGUCUUCAAACUCGCCUCUAUCUUCUCUUUAUUGACAAUCGUAUCCUUGAUGUCAAAAGUACUGUGCCACACCUCUGCCCCGACCCUGACUCCACAUCCAAGAACCUCCACCAGCUUCUCAUUGUAGAACUGCUCCGCGAACAAUGGCCAUGUCAGCAUUGGCACUCCGGCUGUAAGAGAUUCCAGGGUGGAAUUCCAGCCACAAUGAGUCAUGAACACCCCGGUUGCUGGAUGGUUCAAGAUCUUCAGCUGUGGCACCCAUCCUCUGACUAUCAAACCUUUCUUGUUUGUAAGCAUUUUUUCCUUGAAGCUAGAAGGCAUCCAGUUUUCUUGCCCGUUUACUUGGGGUUCGUCUCCCUUCCUUACCACCCAAAGAAACGAUGAAUUCGAUGCCUCAAGAGCCAAGGCAAUUUCAGUAAGCUGAGCAUCAGAGAACCUCCCCAUACUUCCGAAACAAAUGUACACAACAGAGUUUGGUUCUUGAGAAUCAAGCCAACUCAAGCAGCUGUGUCGUUCUUGAUGUUGAGUAUUUCUUGAAUUGUCUGCCUCUUCCCUCUUUGAAAAAUGAAACAAAGGACCAAUAAGCCACGGCUUUUUACCUUUGAUUUCUUGAUAAAGCUUAGCAUAACUCGGCUCUAGAUCAUAGAUAGUGUCGUGAAUCAUAGCGUAGCUCCGAGGUUCUGAUUCUUUAAUUCUCCUCAUCAGCUCCCAAUAUGGUCCUUCAGAUUUAGUUAUAAUAUUCUCUGGCAAUUGAGAUCUUUUCAUUUCUAUCUGAUCUGGUAAACCCGGAAUCAAGAAACUUUCUGAAUCCGAACUUACCUUCUCAUGAGGUGCAUACAAUUUCAAACAAUGUUCAACACAGUGGUACAUAACAUUAGUCGGAUAAAACAUAAGUCUAGGUAUCUUCAGUUGCUCUGCCACAUCCACAGUCCAUGGGAAAAACAUGUCUGAAACAAUGCAAUGAGGACGAAGCUCGAAAAUAAGACUUUCCAUUGGUUUUUGAAGCAGAGGAAUUCCCAUAAACACACUUAUAGCCAUUUCUUGGCUAGUGGCAUACACCUAUAGCCAUUUCUUUGCUAGUGACUGCACUGAAGUUUUCGAUCCCUUCUGGUAUGCCUACUUCAGCUGAUGGGAAUUUGAGUUUGUGGACGAAUAUUUCGUGGCCUAAUUCAGUAGCAUGAUCGAUUGAGGACUCGAAAAGGAGGGCGUUGUAGGGGGUGGUGAUGAUGCUAACUUUCACGCCAUGGCUAGCAAAAAGUCUAGCUAUAUCAACUAAAGGGAUCAUAUGACUUGGUGUGAAGUAUGGAAUGAAAACUACAUGAAGUAUUUCACCAUUUUUUUGUGCCAUGACUGAACUUGAAGAAGGGAUGGGAACUCACUAAACAAUGGUAAGAAGUAGGGUGAGAAACAACGAAAAAUGUUACUAACCUAAUAUUAGAUUCAAACAUAUCACAGAUAGCCUAAAAAAGUCAUGGAAAAACAUUAAAAUACAAUGUAUGUUUCUUCAAGGAAUCUUAUUUUGGAUUAGUUUUUCUAUUCAAUCAAUACAUUGAGUGGUUCUCCAUGUGUUAUCUUUUUGCAGAGCAGUUGAAAGGGAGAUGUGGGCCGCAAACUACUUAGUACUACUCCCUCCGUUUUAAUUUAUGUGAUGUUUGGCUUGGCACGACGUUUAAGUAAGAAAGAAAGACUUUUGAAACGAUUGUCCCAUUAGGAUGAAAUGAACAUUUUAAAGUAAACUACUAGUUAUUAAAUAUACAAAAUGUGUCGUUCUUUUUUAGAUCGACUAAAAAGUAAAAUGUGACAGGUAAUAUGUGGUCCUACAAAGUACAAAAAUCAAUGUGUACCCCAAUAAGUAUCAUAGACAGCUCCCAAUGUUACUGUUGAGAAACUUCCCCAAAAACCGAAAACUUUCAUUAAAGGUGUGUUCCGUAGGAAAAUGUUUUUCAUGGAAAAUAUUUUCUAAUAAAACUAUUUCUAGAAAAACAAGUGGUUUCUUACUUAUUUUCCUCUGUUUGAUAUGCAAGGAAAAAAUAUUAUUCUAAAAGCAUUUCUAUAUAUAUGACAAAAUUAUGAGAAUAGAAUGACAGAGGGGAGGGUAGGGGGUGUGGGGGUGCAGGUGGAGUGGGAACGAGGGGCGGGGUUUGGGGUUGGUGGUGGAAACCAGUCUUGUCAGCUGAUUGAUAAUUUGUUUAUAGAAGGCAUUAAUGGCCAUAACAUGUUAUUUCGUUUUCCCUUUUCUUUUGUCUUGUAAUACAUGCGAAUUCAUCAUACAUAUUUUUACAUGUUGAUUUCUUGGAUAGUCACUCAAGUAAUAGUAUUAUCAAGUCAUUUUCUUUGUUGAGGAAAAUUAAAAUCAAGAAGAAAGAUGCCUUUUUGAGAUAAUAACUAGUAUUAGCUGAGUGUCCGUAUGAGAAAUCAACCCCAUAUUUUAGGGAAAAUGAGCGAAGCUCGGGACAUUAGAUUUCUUAUUACUCUUCUGAUAUGCCAAAAGCAUGAGACUUCAUCUCCUGUAUUAAUGCAGUUAGAUGAUUAUAAGAUGAACCUCCUUCCUCCACAGCCCUCUUAAUCAUUGCUUCGACGUCUUUUCCUCUACUUCUGAUCUUUCCACUUUCCCUAGAGGCGUUCAUCAACAUUUUCACACUCGCCUCUAUCUUCUCCUUCUUCACAAUCGUAUCCGUGAUGUCAAAUGAAAUAUGCCACACCUCUGCCCCGACCCUGACUCCACAUCCAAGUACCUCCACCAGUUUCUCAUUGUAGAACUGCUCCGCAAACAAUGGCCAUGUCAGCAUUGGCACUCCGGAUGUAAGAGACUCCAAAGUGGAAUUCCAGCCACAGUGAGUCAUGAACGCUCCGGUUGCUGGAUGGUUCAAGAUCUUCAGCUGUGGCACCCAUCCUCUAACUAUCAAACCUUUCUUGUUUGCAAACAUAUUUUCCUCAAACCCAAUUGGGAGCCAACUUUCAUAUGUGUUAUCUCCCUUUCUUACCACCCAAAGAAAGGUCGAAUUCGAGGCCUCAAGAGCUAAGGCAAUUUCAGUAAGCUGAGGAUCCGAAAACCUUCCCAUACUUCCAAAACAAAUGUACACAACAGAGUUUGAUUCUUGAGAAUCAAGCCAACUCAAGCAGCUAUGUCGCUCUUGAUCUGGACUACUUCUCGAAUUGUUUCUCUUUGAAAAAUGAAACGAAGGUCCAAUAAGCCACGGCUUUUUACCUUUGAUUUUUCGAUAAAGCUCAGCAUAACUCGGUUCUAGAUCAUAGAUAGUGUCAUGAAUCAUACCAUAGCUCCGCGGUUCUGAUUCUUUAAUUCUCUUCAACAACUCCCAAUAUGGUCCUUCAGGGUUGUUUUUCACAUCUUCGGGUAGUUGAGAUCUUUUCAUUUCAAUCUCAUCUGGUAAUCCCGGAACCUUAAAACAUUCUGAAUCCGAACUUACCUUCUCAUGAGGUGUAUACAACUUCAAACAAUGUUCAACACAAUGGUACAUAACAUUAGUCGGAUAAAACGUAAGUCUAGGAAUCUUCAGUUGCUCUGCUACAUCCACAGUCCAUGGGAAAAACAUGUCUGAUACAAUGCAAUGAGGACGUAGCUCGAAAAUAAGACUUUCCAUUGGUUUUUGAAGCAAAGC
Molecule: long non-coding RNA, 27071 nt
Filed under: Solanum tuberosum (potato)
Lineage: Eukaryota; Viridiplantae; Streptophyta; Magnoliopsida; Solanales; Solanaceae
Description: long non-coding RNA (STUB_LNC011872)
Source: RNAcentral